RNAcentral lists this ribosomal RNA (279 nucleotides) under uncultured bacterium. RNAcentral describes it as "partial 16S ribosomal RNA". It matches the Rfam family "Bacterial small subunit ribosomal RNA", at positions 506 to 784 of the family's 1533-position model. The record is from RNAcentral.
UGCCAGCAGCCGCGGUAAUACGAAUGGUGCAAGCGUUGUUCGGAAUCACUGGGCAUAAAGGGCAUGUAGGCGGCGGCGUAAGUCAGAUGUGAAAUCCCCCAGCUCAACCGGGGAACUGCAUCUGAUACUGCGUUGCUAGAGUACGGGAGGGGAAAGCGGAAUUCCUGGUGGAGCGGUGAAAUGCGUAGAUAUCAGGAGGAACGCCGGAGGCGAAAGCGGCUUUCUGGCCCGUUACUGACGCUGAGGUGCGAAAGCUAGGGGAGCAAACAGGAUUAGAUA